Molecule: long non-coding RNA, 1008 nt
Filed under: Equus asinus (donkey)
Lineage: Eukaryota; Metazoa; Chordata; Mammalia; Perissodactyla; Equidae
Description: lncRNA (ENSEASG00005024148.1)
Source: RNAcentral
AAGAAAAAGAAAACAGUCUACACACGCACGGUGGGGAGAAGGCGGAGAGGGGAAUGACACAUCUGCCAGCCAAGGAGGAGCACGUAUUCCGGCCACAACCAGGAGCUGAAGAGACAUGGACGGGUUCGUCCCUAGAUCCUUUGGAGUGAGUGUGGUCAUGCUAACACCUUAAGACGCCCAGCCUCCAGAAUUGUCUGCGCGGGCUCCCUCCUGAUCUUCACUUUCAUCCCGUCUUCACACCAUGCGUCCCCUUCCCCAGCGUUGACCCACUGUAACAGGAAACUCUGGCCCAGAAGAUGAAAGUUGAAAUAACUCUCGUUUAUUCCUGGAAGUUUCCAAAAAACUAUUUAAAUGAUCAUCGAACGGUUCAACUCUUCAACAGAAAACGUCAAAUGACAGUUUACUCCUCAAGACUCUGAGCUCCUCGCCUUAAAAAUGCUCCCCUUGCUGUGGCCACUGAUGCUGAGCUACGUUGUGGUCCUUGCCCAGUCCUGAUCCAGCCCGCAUUGGAAGACCUGCUUACACCAGACUCCGAAGCCUCGUACACACUCCCCUCCACCACUCUGCUGAGACUCGCUCUACUGAGAAAAGACUGAAGCGGCCGCGUCUCAUCAGCAGGCUGUUCUGGUGUACUGUGGGGAGGCAGCCUUCCACAGCCUCACCUGUCAUCUCAGCCCCUCCCAGGUCCUGGAGCCUGUCCUGACUCUGGACAAAGGGGAUGUGGGUUGGAGGGACUCGUCCAGCAGGACAAGGGCCUCAGUCUUACAUUCAGCAUACAUGGCCCUGGGUGAUCCGGGCUGGGUCUGCAUGUUAAUUCAAUUUAUUGUGUCUACCAUUUUUCAGGUCAGAAGCCAGGCAGUGGGAAUUAAAAGCUGAAGCAAUUUGAGGUCUCCUUACCUGCCCUCAGUCCACAGCUUAAUGGGGAAGAGAGAAAUAGAAACAGAUAAAAUACAACGUGUUAUGUGCAAUGACAUUAUAUAGAGAGUUCUUCUUAAACAGUUUGUGGUU